Phycodurus eques (leafy seadragon) is the source of this 417-nucleotide long non-coding RNA. RefSeq lists it as uncharacterized. The transcript has 3 exons. The record is from RefSeq and is a predicted model, not a curated record. NCBI's taxonomy places the organism in Eukaryota, Metazoa, Chordata, Actinopteri, Syngnathiformes, Syngnathidae.
UGACGGUCAGACGUGGACCACAUCAAGUCACUAUUCAAGAGAGUGUAUGUAACAAAAAUGGAAUUCAAUGGCAACAAAAUAUCUGGAUAAGCAUAAGGCGUAGCAUACAGGGACACAAUCCUCCCACACUUCAGAGGAAUGUGCUGGCAGGCACCGACAAUAAGCUUCAGGAACUGUGGUCAGCUUGUCUCUUUCUCGGAUGGAGCCGUCAUGAAAUAUUCAAAGUAACCCGUUAAGUCAAUAUUAACCAUUAUCUUAACCAUUGGGCAGCCGUGGCCCAAUGGUUAAGAUCAUCGCCUGCCACCGUCGGGGACCUAGGUCCAAGACCCCGACUGGACCAUCCACCGACAUCCCCUGGGUUCACGGUUUUGGUGUCCUUGAGCAAGACACUGAUACCCCGAAAUGCUCCCCGGGUGC